Nanorana parkeri is the source of this 146-nucleotide long non-coding RNA. RefSeq lists it as uncharacterized. NCBI's taxonomy places the organism in Eukaryota, Metazoa, Chordata, Amphibia, Anura, Dicroglossidae. The record is from RefSeq and is a predicted model, not a curated record. The transcript is spliced from 3 exons.
AAGCGCUAUGUGUGAAAACACUGAAUAUAUUGUUACAUUGAAAAGCUCUGGUUCUACAAAAUGUGUCAGUCCUGAGCUGAAAGAAAUUAAAGCUCUGCUUAAUGGAAAAAAUCGGUCUCUGAAACAUAUUCCAGUGAUCAGACACC